This 564-nucleotide ribosomal RNA is filed under the name Triticum aestivum (bread wheat). RNAcentral's name for it is "partial small subunit ribosomal RNA". Lineage: Eukaryota; Viridiplantae; Streptophyta; Magnoliopsida; Poales; Poaceae. The record is from RNAcentral.
AUGCCGCGCCACCUGCUGCAGCAGUCCGUCGACCGCCUGGCCGCGAUGGCCGCGCCGCCGGCGGCCGCCAUGGCCGGCGGUGGGACGAGCGCGCACACGGACACGGUCCUGAUCGUGAUUGCGGUGCUCUGCUUCCUGCUGUGCGUGGUCGGGCUGGCCAUGGUCGCGCGCUGCUCCCUGCUCUGCAACCCCUCCGCCUUCUCCGUCGACGGGCCGGCGGCCAAGGCGCCUUGCGGUGGCCUCGAGAAGAAGGCGCUGCAGUCGCUGCCGACCGUGUCGUGGAGGCCGCAACAGAGGGAGGUGGACGAGGAGGAGGGGGAGCGGCCGGAGUGCGCCAUCUGCCUGGCGGAGUUCGCGCGCGGCGACGAGGUGCGCGUGCUCCCGCACUGCGGCCACGGCUUCCACGCCGCCUGCGUCGACGUGUGGCUCCUCUCCAGCUCCACCUGCCCGUCCUGCCGCCGCGCCCUCGUCGUCGUGUCGCCGGCGCCGCCAACCACCCAUCCUCCCGCGGGUACGACGACGUGCUGUGCCGUGGCAGGCCGCUGCCGGCCGUCGUCAUCGUAG